GGGUUGAUGUAGCUCAGUGGUUGAGCAUCUGCUUUGAGUGCAGAAGGUCCCAGGUUCAAUCCCUGGCAUCUCCA
This is a non-coding RNA of Rhineura floridana, 74 nucleotides long. NCBI's taxonomy places the organism in Eukaryota, Metazoa, Chordata, Lepidosauria, Squamata, Rhineuridae. The record is from the annotation of a RefSeq genome assembly.